CCUACGGGUGGCAGCAGUGAGGAAUAUUGGUCAAUGGACGAGAGUCUGAACCAGCCAAGUAGCGUGAAGGAUGACUGCCCUAUGGGUUGUAAACUUCUUUUAUAUGGGAAUAAAACGUUCCACGUGUGGGAUUUUGUAUGUACCAUAUGAAUAAGGAUCGGCUAACUCCGUGCCAGCAGCCGCGGUAAUAUGGAGGAUCCGAGCGUUAUCCGGAUUUAUUGGGUUUAAAGGGAGCGUAGGUGGAUUGUUAAGUCAGUUGUGAAAGUUUGCGGCUCAACCGUAAAAUUGUAGUUGAAACUGGCAGUCUUGAGUACAGGAGAGGUAGGCGGAAUUCGUGGUGUAGCGGUGAAAUGCUUAGAUAUCACGAAGAACUCCGAUUGCGAAGGCAGUUCACUGGACUGCAACUGACACUGAGGCUCGAAAGUGUGGGUAUCAAACAGGAUUAGAUACCCCGGUAGUC
This 460-nucleotide ribosomal RNA is filed under the name uncultured bacterium. Its description in RNAcentral is "partial 16S ribosomal RNA". It matches the Rfam family "Bacterial small subunit ribosomal RNA", at positions 338 to 795 of the family's 1533-position model. The record is from RNAcentral.